AGAAAGUUAGUCUAAGCAAGACAGUUGAUUUCGACUCAACAGACCAUAGCUUAUCCUAUGACUUUCUU
RNAcentral lists this transfer RNA (68 nucleotides) under Cacatua haematuropygia (Philippine cockatoo). Its description in RNAcentral is "tRNA-Arg". It matches the Rfam family "tRNA". Rfam says of the family: Transfer RNA (tRNA) molecules are approximately 80 nucleotides in length. Their secondary structure includes four short double-helical elements and three loops (D, anti-codon, and T loops). The record is from RNAcentral. Lineage: Eukaryota; Metazoa; Chordata; Aves; Psittaciformes; Cacatuidae.